Salmo salar (Atlantic salmon) is the source of this 82-nucleotide non-coding RNA. NCBI's taxonomy places the organism in Eukaryota, Metazoa, Chordata, Actinopteri, Salmoniformes, Salmonidae. The record is from Rfam.
GCUGCGAUGGCCAAGUGGUUAAGUCUUUGGGCUUGAAAUCCAAUGGGCUCUCCCUGCGCAGGUUCGAACCCUGCUCGCAGCG